AUUGAACGCUGGCGGCAGGCCUAACACAUGCGAGUCGAGCGGAUGAAGGGAGCUUGCUCCUGGAUUCAGCGGCGGACGGGUGAGUAAUGCCUAGGAAUCUGCCUGGUAGUGGGGGAUAACGUCCGGAAACGGGCGCUAAUACCGCAUACGUCCUGAGGGAGAAAGUGGGGGAUCUUCGGACCUCACGCUAUCAGAUGAGCCUAGGUCGGAUUAGCUAGUUGGUGGGGUAAAGGCCUACCAAGGCGACGAUCCGUAACUGGUCUGAGAGGAUGAUCAGUCACACUGGCAAUGAGACACGGUCCAGACUCCUACGGGAGGCAGCAGUGGGGAAUAUUGGACAAUGGGCGAAAGCCUGAUCCAGCCAUGCCGCGUGUGUGAAGAAGGUCUUCGGAUUGUAAAGCACUUUAAGUUGGGAGGAAGGGCAGUAAGUUAAUACCUUGCUGUUUUGACGUUACCAACAGAAUAAGCACCGGCUAACUUCGUG
RNAcentral lists this ribosomal RNA (484 nucleotides) under uncultured bacterium. RNAcentral's name for it is "partial 16S ribosomal RNA". It matches the Rfam family "Bacterial small subunit ribosomal RNA", at positions 30 to 507 of the family's 1533-position model. The record is from RNAcentral.